AGGGAACGGAGAUUAGCCCAGUACCGAAGCCUAUUCGUGUAUGCGGACAAGGCAAUGUGGUAUUUAGGCAUGCAUCUUAGAUGGCUCGUCUAUUCGAAGUCCACUCCGAUUAUGGCUUUGGAUUUGUCCCAUAGAGGGUGAAAGGCCCGUUCGAGUAGACACUGUUGUUUUCGAGCUGUCUUUUGAUAUGUGUGCUUUGGAGUCGGAUUGCUUGAGAAUGCAGUCCAAAGUGGGUGGUAAACUCCAUCCAAGGCUAAAUACUGGCACGAGUCCGAUAGUAGACAAGUACCGUGAGGGAAAGUUGAAAAGUACUCUGAAGAGAGAGUAAAUAGUACGUGAAGCCGACUGAAUAGAAUCCGGUGGAGUCAAGCUUCUUGCAUUUGAAAUUGGCACAGAGAUUACUCUUGUUCAUGAAGUGUGGCGUAUAUGGCUUGAAAAUAGCUUGGUGGUUUUCCAUUCUAAGUUAUCCGGGCUGGUGACUUUUGAUGCGCCUAUUUCUUCGAUCUCUUGUGUUAUUUUUGAAUGCAUAAAUCAUGGUCAAUGUUCUUGCUGUGUGCCUCAGUCUAACCGUUUUUUGUGAGCUUUAGCUUGCUUAAUUCGGAAUGGCAUGUGGUGGCUGGUUAGUUUCUGCUUAUCAGUCACGUAUAAUGGUUUAGCCUGCUGACUGAAGUGCUUCUAAUACUGUCGAGCGCAUUGUUUUUAUAAUACAUGUCUUCUUAAUUGAUUGCAUGUAUUAGAGCCAUGGUUCUGAAGUAGAUUUUCUUCCGGGCCCGUCUUGAAACACGGACCAAGGAGUUUAACUCGAUCGCAAGUCAUCGGAUUCUUUGUAAAUCCAAUGGCGCAAUGAAAGUAAACGGUUGCUUUUCGUAACCGAAGGUGUGAUCUACGCUUGUCCUGAACUGGGCUGCGUGGCGUAAUACCGGCCCGUUUCGUAAUGUAGUCAUGCUGGUUCCGACUGGUGUGCAUCAUUGAGGCGGAGCAAGAGCGAUCAGGUUGAGACCCGAAAGAUGGUGAACUAUGCUUGCGUAGGUUGAAGCCAGAGGAAACUCUGGUGGAGGACCGUCGCGGUUUUGACGUGCAAAUCGAUCGUCAAACGUGAGCAUAGGGGCGAAAGACUAAUCGAACCAUCUAGUAGCUGGUUCCCUCCGAAGUUUCCCUCAGGAUAGCUGGCACUCAAUUAAUACAGUUUUAUCUGGUAAAGCGAAUGAUUAGAGGUAUUGGGGGCUAUAUGACCUCAACCUAUUCUCAAACUAUUAAUGGGUACGAUGCAUGGCUCGCUUAAUUGGAGUUGUGCAUUGAAUGUGAGUGCCAAGUGGGCCAUUUUUGGUAAGCAGAACUGGCGCUGUGGGAUGCUCCGAACGUCAAGAUAAGGUGCC
RNAcentral lists this ribosomal RNA (1376 nucleotides) under Demidospermus mortenthaleri. RNAcentral's name for it is "eukaryotic LSU rRNA". It matches the Rfam family "Eukaryotic large subunit ribosomal RNA", at positions 92 to 1189 of the family's 3401-position model. Lineage: Eukaryota; Metazoa; Platyhelminthes; Monogenea; Dactylogyridea; Dactylogyridae. The record is from RNAcentral.